This 451-nucleotide ribosomal RNA is filed under the name uncultured bacterium. Its description in RNAcentral is "partial 16S ribosomal RNA". It matches the Rfam family "Bacterial small subunit ribosomal RNA", at positions 30 to 526 of the family's 1533-position model. The record is from RNAcentral.
CAUGAACGCUAUCAAUGUACUUAAGACACUGUAAAUUCGACUCUAAUAAAUUUAAUGAAAUUUGUGAGAUACGAGUAAAUAUACCUUGGAAUCUGCCCAUUAAUUUGAGUGAUGAAAUCGUAACUGAUUAUCAAAAAACUAGAAUAAAGAAAAAUUAAUUUGUUAAUGGAUGAGCCGAGGCUAGAAUAGUUACAAGUAGGAUAAAGGCCUACUUUGACCAUGAUCUAAAGCUAGUAUUGGCGUACGGUUAGCUACGCCGGGACUGAGAAGGACCCGGACCAAGGGGGCUGUAGUCGGGAAUCUUGGGUAAUGGGUGUAAGCCUGACCCAGUGACAUUGAAAAAGUGCUAACGGGUUUUUAGCCUUAUAAAACUUUUUUCUUAUAGUAGGGAUAAUGACAAAUACUAUAAAAGAAGUACCGGUUAAUUAUGUGCCAGCAGCCGCAGUAAGAC